RNAcentral lists this ribosomal RNA (836 nucleotides) under Enterococcus durans. RNAcentral describes it as "bacterial SSU rRNA". It matches the Rfam family "Bacterial small subunit ribosomal RNA", at positions 70 to 878 of the family's 1533-position model. The record is from RNAcentral. Lineage: Bacteria; Bacillati; Bacillota; Bacilli; Lactobacillales; Enterococcaceae.
UCUUUUUCCACCGGAGCUUGCUCCACCGGAAAAAGAAGAGUGGCAACGGGUGAGUAACACGUGGGUAACCUGCCCAUCAGAAGGGGAUAACACUUGGAAACAGGUGCUAAUACCGUAUAACAAUCGAAACCGCAUGGUUUUGAUUUGAAAGGCGCUUUCGGGUGUCGCUGAUGGAUGGACCCGCGGUGCAUUAGCUAGUUGGUGAGGUAACGGCUCACCAAGGCCACGAUGCAUAGCCGACCUGAGAGGGUGAUCGGCCACAUUGGGACUGAGACACGGCCCAAACUCCUACGGGAGGCAGCAGUAGGGAAUCUUCGGCAAUGGACGAAAGUCUGACCGAGCAACGCCGCGUGAGUGAAGAAGGUUUUCGGAUCGUAAAACUCUGUUGUUAGAGAAGAACAAGGAUGAGAGUAACUGUUCAUCCCUUGACGGUAUCUAACCAGAAAGCCACGGCUAACUACGUGCCAGCAGCCGCGGUAAUACGUAGGUGGCAAGCGUUGUCCGGAUUUAUUGGGCGUAAAGCGAGCGCAGGCGGUUUCUUAAGUCUGAUGUGAAAGCCCCCGGCUCAACCGGGGAGGGUCAUUGGAAACUGGGAGACUUGAGUGCAGAAGAGGAGAGUGGAAUUCCAUGUGUAGCGGUGAAAUGCGUAGAUAUAUGGAGGAACACCAGUGGCGAAGGCGGCUCUCUGGUCUGUAACUGACGCUGAGGCUCGAAAGCGUGGGGAGCAAACAGGAUUAGAUACCCUGGUAGUCCACGCCGUAAACGAUGAGUGCUAAGUGUUGGAGGGUUUCCGCCCUUCAGUGCUGCAGCUAACGCAUUAAGCACUCCGCCUGGGG